CAGCAAAGUAAGAUAUACAAAUAAGUCAACAUGACCAAAUGGUCAGUUGACCACUUUAGGAGUUAUUGCCCUUUAUAGUCAAUUUUUAACCAUUUUUCGUAAAUCUUAGUAAUCUUUUAGAAAAAUCUUCUUCUCUGAAACUACUGGCCAAAUUUAACUAAACUUGGCCAUAAUCAUCAUUGGGGUAUGUAGUUUAAAAAAUGUGUCCGGUGACCCGGCCAACCAACCAAGAUGGCUGCCAUGGCUAAAAAUAGAACAUAGGGGUAAAAUGCAGUUUUUGGCUUAUAACUCAAAAACCAAAGCAUUUAGAGCAAAUCUGACAGGAAGUAAAAUUGUUGAUCAG
Molecule: long non-coding RNA, 343 nt
Filed under: Mytilus galloprovincialis (Mediterranean mussel)
Lineage: Eukaryota; Metazoa; Mollusca; Bivalvia; Mytilida; Mytilidae
Source: RNAcentral